Molecule: small nuclear RNA, 190 nt
Organism: Sciurus carolinensis (gray squirrel)
Lineage: Eukaryota; Metazoa; Chordata; Mammalia; Rodentia; Sciuridae
Product: U2 spliceosomal RNA
Exons: 1
Source: RefSeq, a predicted model, not a curated record
AUCGCUUCUUGGAUUAUUGGCUAAAAUCAAGCGUAGUAUCUGUUCUUAUCAGUUUCAUAUCUGAUACAUCCUCUAUCUGAGGACAACAUGUUAAAUGGAGUUUUGGAAAUCGAGAUGGAACGGGAGCUUGCUCCAUGCACUUCACACGGUGACCUGGUGUCGCAGUACUCCCGGGAACGGUGCACCCACC